RNAcentral lists this transfer RNA (72 nucleotides) under Pangasianodon hypophthalmus (striped catfish). It matches the Rfam family "tRNA". From Rfam's summary of the family: Transfer RNA (tRNA) molecules are approximately 80 nucleotides in length. Their secondary structure includes four short double-helical elements and three loops (D, anti-codon, and T loops). The record is from Rfam by way of RNAcentral. Lineage: Eukaryota; Metazoa; Chordata; Actinopteri; Siluriformes; Pangasiidae.
UCCCUGGAGGACCAGUGGUUAGGCCACAGUGCUCUCAGCGUUGUGGCCCGGGUUCGAUUCCUGGCCAGGGAA